GUGAGGAAUAUUGGUCAAUGGGCGAAAGCCCGAACCAGCAACGCCGCGUGGAGGAUGAAGGCCUUCGGGUUGUAAACUUCUUUUACAGGAGACGAGCAAGGACGGUAUCCUGUGAAUAAGCCACGGCAAACUACGUGCCAGCAGCCGCGGUAAUACGUAGGUGGCGAGCGUUAUCCGGAUUCACUGGGCGUAAAGCGCUUGUAGGUGGUUCUGUAAGUUGGGUGUGAAAUCUUCGGGCUUAACUCGGAGUGGCCGCUCAAUACUGCAGGACUUGAGGAUGUCAGAGGGAGAUGGAAUUCCUGGUGUAGUGGUGAAAUGCGUAGAUAUCAGGAGGAACACCCGUGGCGAAGGCGGUCUCCUGGGACACUCCUGACACUGAGAAGCGACAGCUAGGGGAGCGAACGGGAUUAGAUACCCCAGUAGUCC
RNAcentral lists this ribosomal RNA (426 nucleotides) under uncultured bacterium. RNAcentral's name for it is "bacterial SSU rRNA". It matches the Rfam family "Bacterial small subunit ribosomal RNA", at positions 354 to 796 of the family's 1533-position model. The record is from RNAcentral.